AUACGGAGGGUCCAAGCGUUAUCCGGAUUUCAUUGGGUUUAAAGGGUGCGCAGGCGGGCUUGUAAGUCAGUGGUGAAAUUUUGCGGCUUAACCGUAAAACUGCCAUUGAUACUGCAAGUCUUGAAUAUGGUUGAGGUAGGCGGAAUGUGUUGUGUAGCGGUGAAAUGCAUAGAUAUGACACAGAACGCCGAUUGCGAAGGCAGCUUACUAAGCCAUGAUUGACGCUGAGGCACGAAAGCGUGGGGAGCGAACAGGAUUAGAUACCCUGGUAGUCCACGCCGUAAACGAUGAUCACUCGCUGUCUGCGAUACACAGUAGGCGGCUGAGCGAAAGCAUUAAGUGAUCCACCUGGGGAGUACGAUCGCAAGGUUGAAACUCAAAGGAAUUGACGGGGGCCCGCACAAGCGGAGGAACAUGUGGUUUAAUUCGAUGAUACGCGAGGAACCUUACCUGGGCUUAAAUGUAGGUUGCAUAGAUUAGAGAUAGUCUUUUUCUUCGGAACUACCUACAAGGUGCUGCAUGGUUGUCGUCAGCUCGUGCCGUGAGGUGUCGGGUUAAGUCCCAUAACGAGCGCAACCCCUAUCGUUAGUUGCUAGCAGGUAAUGCUGAGGACUCUAGCGAGACUGCCACCGUAAGGUGAGAGGAAGGUGGGGAUGACGUCAAAUCAGCACGGCCCUUAUGUCCAGGGCUACACACGUGUUACAAUGGUCGGUACAAAGGGCAGCUACUUGGUGACAAGAUGCUAAUCCCUAAAGCCGAUCCCAGUUCGGAUUGGAGUCUGCAACCCGACUCCAUGAAGUUGGAUUCGCUAGUAAUCGGAUAUCAGCCAUGAUCCGGUGAAUACGUUCCCGGGCCUUGUACACACCGCCCGUCAAACCAUGGAAGCUGGGGGUGCCUGAAGUCUGUGACCGCAAGGAGCGGCCUAGGGUAAAACUAGUAACUAGGGUUAAGUCGUAACAAGGUAACCGUA
RNAcentral lists this ribosomal RNA (970 nucleotides) under bacterium enrichment culture. Its description in RNAcentral is "bacterial SSU rRNA". It matches the Rfam family "Bacterial small subunit ribosomal RNA", at positions 523 to 1504 of the family's 1533-position model. The record is from RNAcentral.